CCCUCCCUCUCCCUCUCUCUCUCCUUCCCUCCCUCUCCCUCUCUCUCCUUCCCUCUCUCCAUGGAAGGAUGUUAUGUAUCUUAGCAACAAAGGCUUUGGAUUUUCCCCUCCAGUUACUGACAAGAAACCAGAAUGAUUUCUGGUGUCAGAAACCUUCCUCGAACAAGGAGCUUUCUCUGGAGAACAGGCUCCGAGCAGCCACACGUCAUUCGACCUCUGUUCCCCGUUGGGGUGUCCUCAGGCCAGGACAUCCUGGCAAGUGGGCCGUCAGCGGGCAGUGGCAUCGCAGCCUCAGCCGGGAGACCCAAGUCACUCCUCUCAGAAGCGCGGCACCCGAACCACCUCUGUUCAUCACAUUUUGUCCCGUGGAGCAGUGACAAGACCCAGCAAGAUUUCAUGGCGACAGAACUUGAAGGUUUCAGGGCGACGGAACCUGAGAGUGAUACAGACAUUUUGAUUCCUGGUGCAACAGGGUAUGAAGAAAACACAUACCUAAUUUUAUCGGAAAAGAUAUACUGAGUGUCUAUGCAUGCUGUGAUUUGAAAGAAAAUCACUCAGUAGAGAAGGGCCUCAGGUCACAAGCCUUUUGUCUAAGUGAGGGGGAUAAAAAGGCUUCACAGUAGAGUGACAAUUACUAAUCCUGCGACAGUAAUAUAUGCAACUUUUAAAUUUUUUUCUAAACAUUUAUUUUGUGACUACUCUGUUUCAAUGCUCCCUGGGAGUGAAAAACAAGAUUCUAGCCAGGUGCGGUGGCUCACGCCUGUAAUCUCAGCACUGUGGGAGGCUGAGGCGGGAGGAUGGCUUGAGGCCAAGGAGUUCGAGACCAGCCUGGGUCACAGAGUGAGGUGCCCUCCCCUACCCACUCCCAGACUAUCUGGAAACACCCAGUGCAGACAAGGUCAAGUCAGCUUAACACACGCACGCCGAUAGUGGUGAACGCUGCUUUCUGAGCGGCUGGCGAGGUCAGUCUUAGGAAAGUUGGUGGCAGACGCGAACAGCCCCACUGGAAUUGGUAACUUGGAAGGCGCAGCUCCACGGACACAGCCACGAUAUGCCUUCUGCCGCCACACAGCCCCUGACCUGCCGCAGUGCCAGGCAUGAAGCCUCUGCCCAGCCAGGCCUCGGGGUCCUCUCUAGGGAAACACAGGCUCCUUCUCCUCUCCUGGCUUUCUCUAGGCCCUCCAGACACCAGAUGGAAAUCUAAUGGAACCCACACACCAUGCAUUCUGCAGGGCUGAGCUCGGCUUCCUCCAGGACACCACAGGAGCCGUCUUGGUUGCAUGUUUGUCCAAAUUUAAAACUUCACCCGGCCGAGGUGGGCCAUCUGUGGCUUCGUCUGAGAUGCUUACUUUUCGCAGGAUUUUCUUGGAGCUCUGGGACCUGGUGGGGCGCUCACUCCAUGCAGUUGCUUUCACUCCACCAGGGACAUCGGGUAUGUAAAUAAACAAAAAUAUUGCAGGAUUGUGCAGGGAACACAGCAUUACAGAGGUGCUGGUGGUUUUGCUGUGAGGAGGGAACAUGGACCAGAGGACUGCGUUUUCUACACACACUGAGCUGUGAAGGAGCUCCGACCCCGCUCCUCUGGGAGCCUGCAGGAUGCUCAGCAGCGGCACCCAGGCUGCCUCAGGGACCCAGGUGCAUUGGGAACAACUUGGCAAUUUUCAUCCACUGAUUUCUGUUCUCCAGAUCCUGCUUUCAGGAUAGGGAAAGACUCAGGGGCAAAGUCAUGGGACAAAGAGGUCUGAGGGCCCCCACCUCUGUGGCACUGGAGGCCUGUGUAACAUCAGCCUCCCUGGUGAUUUUGCAGAAGAGGGGUUGGCGUUCCUUAGAUGCUCACUUAAAGGCUUUUCUUGAAUUUAACAGAAGCUGGGAAGUAAAUAUUACUUUCUUUAUGAAACAACUACUUUUUCCAAGGGAAUCUCUUUCUCUAGAUGGCCUGAAAUGAUUCUUCUGGUUUUUAUCUUUUUAAAUCCAGAUGAAUGCAAAUAACCAUGAAUCAGCCCCAAACGGAGGACCUCAUCUGUUUGCACCCUCAUGUCAGCACACAAAUGAGAAUUUAAAGAUCCUAAUUAAACCCGGGCUCAAAAUAUCUUCCUGAGUAGACCAGAAAGCACCAGUUUCACAAAAAAACAGAAAUAUGCAUCUUCCCAAUGUGGUUUUUAGUUUAUUUUCUGUGUUUUAAUGGUAUUCAAAUUUGAAGUUGAUUGCUAAAGCAGUAACUACCGUUAAUGUGUGUAAACAGAUUUGUGGAUAUUUAACGAUUUAGGAAACUGUGGACGACUACUUUACAUAAUCAACAGGUAGACAGACAGAUGUCAGCACACACAACCGUCAACCCUCAGUUGCUCAAGGCUGAAUGUGGGAUCUCUCAUCUCAGGCUUGUUUGAAAUCCUCAAUUAGUGAAAAGCCCUUGGAAGGCACCUCUAACAUUGUGGUCAGGAGCCCAGAUUUUGGAGCUAGAAUUUAAACAUAGGGAUAGGGAUUUCAUUCCAAGCAUCCCACCAACUGCCUGAGCCUGUGUCAGCGAGCCAGCCCACCUCCCUGUGCUGAUUGUCUCAUCCGUGCAGUGGGGGUGUGGACACCUGGUCCUGGGGACCCCAGCAUCUGGCUUCAAUGUCGAUGUCCUUCCGCCGACCAGGAGGGAGGCCCUUCUCCACUCUGCUGCAGGCGUGGGUCACCUGUGAGUCCCUGCAGGCCUCCACUCUCUGCUGGAGGUGCCCGUGAGCUGGACAAUGGCUGGGGCUGAUUCAUAAAAUAAACAACAACAUGCAGAGGACAGAAUCCACUUGUCAGACAUGGGGGAAAAGGUAGUCAGCUCCUGACCUUGCAAAGCCUCAGGCACCAAGAGAGACUCAGCCUCGUAUGACUCAGUCCCUGCUUUUGCUCUAUACAGAUCCUUCAUUUUAAAGCCGUAUUUUCUUCAUUUUCCCUAGAUGGAUUCUUUACUGUAACUAAUUAUGUCGGAUUAAAACAUGCUAACAACAC
Molecule: long non-coding RNA, 2985 nt
Organism: Homo sapiens (human)
Lineage: Eukaryota; Metazoa; Chordata; Mammalia; Primates; Hominidae
Source: Ensembl